UAUCCCUUUCUCUGCAACCCUCUAGAACGACAUCAAAACUUCACAAAUCGAACUCUAAAUCACCUUCAUCGUGUUCCUCUCAUCACGAACCCAGUCGCACCAACCGAUCACGAAAUGGACGAGUUUUAAUCCCUUAACUUGAAAGGUCUAACUCAGUGAGUUUUCCUUCGACGAGUUUCAGGCCGAGUUACAAGGUUUUAGGACGUGGGAAAGCUUCUACACAACUCCCUAGGGUCCUUAGAUUAAUUUUGGAGUCGAGUUAACGUCGAAAUAAGCAAGUUCGAGGAGUUGAAGGUUAGGCCGAAUCUUUCGAGGGUUUUUUAGGCCAUUUCCCAUCCAUUUUUUGGACUUUUGGAAGAAACCGGCGAACCAGACAGCAGCGAGGCUCACUAGAGAAGACGAAGAAUAUUCCAUCAAAGUUGACGGAAUAUUCUAAUGGCGUCAGGUAACGCCAUUAAGUUCUGUUACUAUUUAACGUAAUAUUCCGUCAACUCUGACGGAAUAUUCCUUGGCUUCUGUCACUUCUGACCUGCGCGUGUGGCCGUGGGCUAUGCGGCGCGUGAGGGUGCGUCUGGCCUCCGACCAGCGAGUGCUUGACACGUACGGGUCCGUCUUAGACAACCGAAUUUUCUGUGGCAUAUGAGGAAACUUCAGCGGAUUCUGAUAUACCUAAAUAAAUGUAGGGAGCCUUUUC
RNAcentral lists this small RNA (694 nucleotides) under Malus domestica (apple). RNAcentral's name for it is "sRNA MD17G0137100". Lineage: Eukaryota; Viridiplantae; Streptophyta; Magnoliopsida; Rosales; Rosaceae. The record is from RNAcentral.